UACAGAGGGUGCAAGCGUUGUUCGGAAUUAUUGGGCGUAAAGCGCGUGUAGGCGGCUUUGCAAGUCGGGUGUGAAAGCCCUCAGCUCAACUGAGGAAGUGCGCCCGAAACUGCAGAGCUUGAGUACCGGAGAGGAUGGCGGAAUUCCCCAAGUAGGGGUGAAAUUCGUAGAUAUGGGGAGGAACACCGGUGGCGAAGGCGGCCAUCUGGACGGUCACUGACGCUGAGACGCGAAAGCGUGGGUAGCAAACAGG
Molecule: ribosomal RNA, 253 nt
Filed under: uncultured bacterium
Lineage: Bacteria
Description: partial 16S ribosomal RNA
Rfam family: Bacterial small subunit ribosomal RNA
Source: RNAcentral